AGGAUGAACGCUGGCGGCGUGCCUAACACAUGCAAGUCGAACGUCCUGUCUCGCAAGAGGCAGGGAGUGGCGGACGGGUGAGUACCACGUGGGUCAUCUACCGUGAGGUGAGGAAUACCGGCGAGAAAUCGCCGACAAGACCGCAUAGGCUCGAUGCAAGUCGAGCAAAGCUCUUUCGAGAGAGGGAGCGCCACACGAGGAGCCUGCGCCCGAUUAGCUAGCUGGUGGAGUAACGGUUCACCAGGGCGACGAUCGGUAGCUGGUCUGAGAGGACGAUCAGCCACACUGGGAUUGAGAACGGCCCAGACUCCUACGGGGGCAGCAGUGAGGAAUUUCGUCAAUGGGGGCAACCCUGAACGAGCAACGCCGCGUGCAGGAAGAAGGUUUCGGAUCGUAAACUGCUUUUCUCGGGAAGAGAACGGACGGUACCCGAGGAAUCAGCCCGGCUAACUACGCGCCAGCAGCCGCGGU
This 471-nucleotide ribosomal RNA is filed under the name uncultured bacterium. RNAcentral's name for it is "SSU rRNA". It matches the Rfam family "Bacterial small subunit ribosomal RNA", at positions 26 to 521 of the family's 1533-position model. The record is from RNAcentral.